UACGGAGGGUGCAAGCGUUAUCCGGAUUUACUGGGUUUAAAGGGUGCGCAGGCGGAUAUGUAAGUCAGUGGUGAAAUCUCUAGGCUUAACCUGGAAAUUGCCGUUGAUACUAUAUAUCUUGAAUGCUGUGGAGGUAAGCGGAAUAUGUCAUGUAGCGGUGAAAUGCUUAGAUAUGACAUAGAACACCUAUUGCGAAGGCAGCUUACUACGCAGAUAUUGACGCUCAUGCACGGAAGCGUGGGGAUCAAACAGG
RNAcentral lists this ribosomal RNA (253 nucleotides) under uncultured bacterium. Its description in RNAcentral is "partial 16S ribosomal RNA". It matches the Rfam family "Bacterial small subunit ribosomal RNA", at positions 524 to 776 of the family's 1533-position model. The record is from RNAcentral.